This 90-nucleotide transfer RNA is filed under the name Limisphaerales bacterium. Its description in RNAcentral is "Verrucomicrobia subdivision 3 bacterium (sediment metagenome) tRNA-Ser". It matches the Rfam family "tRNA". Rfam says of the family: Transfer RNA (tRNA) molecules are approximately 80 nucleotides in length. Their secondary structure includes four short double-helical elements and three loops (D, anti-codon, and T loops). The record is from RNAcentral. Lineage: Bacteria; Pseudomonadati; Verrucomicrobiota; Verrucomicrobiia; Limisphaerales.
GGAGAGGUGGCAGAGUGGUCUAUUGCGGCGGUCUUGAAAACCGCUUCAGGCGCAAGUCUGACGGGGGUUCGAAUCCCUCCCUCUCCGCCA